RNAcentral lists this transfer RNA (76 nucleotides) under Anaerolineaceae bacterium. RNAcentral's name for it is "tRNA-Asn". It matches the Rfam family "tRNA". From Rfam's summary of the family: Transfer RNA (tRNA) molecules are approximately 80 nucleotides in length. Their secondary structure includes four short double-helical elements and three loops (D, anti-codon, and T loops). Lineage: Bacteria; Bacillati; Chloroflexota; Anaerolineae; Anaerolineales; Anaerolineaceae. The record is from RNAcentral. RNAcentral also lists the same sequence under 1 other name.
UCCUCGGUAGCUCAAUUGGCAGAGCGAUCGGCUGUUAACCGAUUGGUUACAGGUUCAAGUCCUGUCCGAGGAGCUA